RNAcentral lists this ribosomal RNA (450 nucleotides) under uncultured bacterium. RNAcentral describes it as "partial 16S ribosomal RNA". It matches the Rfam family "Bacterial small subunit ribosomal RNA", at positions 354 to 796 of the family's 1533-position model. The record is from RNAcentral.
GUGGGGAAUAUUGGACAAUGGGCGAAAGCCUGAUCCAGCCAUGCCGCGUGUGUGAAGAAGGUCUUCGGAUUGUAAAGCACUCUAAGUUGGGAGGAAGGGCAGUAAGUUAAUACCUUGCUGUUUUGACGUUACCGACAGAAUAAGCACCGGCUAACUUCGUGCCAGCAGCCGCGGUAAUACGAAGGGUGCAAGCGUUAAUCGGAAUUACUGGGCGUAAAGCGCGCGUAGGUGGUUUUGUAAGUUGGAGGUGAAAUCCCCGGGCUCAACCUGGGAACUGCCUCCAAAACUGCAUGACUAGAGUACGGUAGAGGGUAGUGGAAUUUCCUGUGUAGCGGUGAAAUGCGUAGAUAUAGGAAGGAACACCAGUGGCGAAGGCGACUACCUGGACUGAUACUGACACUGAGGUGCGAAAGCGUGGGGAGCAAACAGGAUUAGAAACCCGUGUAGUCC